This 468-nucleotide ribosomal RNA is filed under the name uncultured bacterium. RNAcentral's name for it is "partial 16S ribosomal RNA". It matches the Rfam family "Bacterial small subunit ribosomal RNA", at positions 28 to 507 of the family's 1533-position model. The record is from RNAcentral.
GACGAACGCUGGCGGCGUGCUUAACACAUGCAAGUCGAACGGAAAGGACCUGCUUUUGUGGGGUGCUCGAGUGGCGACCGGGUGAGUAACACGUGAGUAACCUGCCCUUGACUUUGGGAUAACUUCAGGAAACUGGGGCUAAUACCGGAUAGGAGCUCCUGCUGCAUGGUGGGGGUUGGAAAGUUUCGGCGGUUGGGGAUGGACUCGCGGCUUAUCAGCUUGUUGGUGGGGUAGUGGCUUACCAAGGCUUUGACGGGUAGCCGGCCUGAGAGGGUGACCAGCCACAUUGGGACUGAGAUACGGCCCAGACUCCUACGGGAGGCAGCAGUGGGGAAUAUUGCACAAUGGGCGGAAGCCUGAUGCAGCAACGCCGCGUGCUGGAUGACGGCCUUCGGGUUGUAAACCGCUUUCGCCUGUGACGAAGCGUGAGUGACGGUAAUGGGUAAAGAAGCACCGGCUAACUACGUG